UACGGGGGUGGCAAGCGUUGUUCGGAAUUACUGGGCGUAAAGUGUGCGCAGGUGGCUUCGCAAGUCGAGUGUGAAAGCCCCGGGCUUAACCUGGGAAUUGCGCUCGAAACUACGGAGCUGGAGUAUGGCAGAGGGAGGUGGAAUUCCACGUGUAGCGGUGAAAUGCGUAGAGAUGUGGAGGAACACCAAUGGCGAAGGCAGCCUCCUGGGCCAAUACUGACACUCAUGCACGAAAGCGUGGGGAGCAAACAGG
Molecule: ribosomal RNA, 253 nt
Filed under: uncultured bacterium
Lineage: Bacteria
Description: partial 16S ribosomal RNA
Rfam family: Bacterial small subunit ribosomal RNA
Source: RNAcentral